Non-coding RNA from Misgurnus anguillicaudatus (oriental weatherfish), 1379 nucleotides. Lineage: Eukaryota; Metazoa; Chordata; Actinopteri; Cypriniformes; Cobitidae. The record is from RefSeq and is a predicted model, not a curated record.
UAACCUUUCAAAAUUCUGUGCUGGUGGUUCACUGUUUAUACAUUUUUAUAUUUUCUGGAGUGAAGUCGAUCACACACAAAAUGGUAAGCAUACUAUAAGUAGAUUAAACUGUCUUUUCAGAGGUGCAGCUCCUGCAAAGAGUAGACAAAGCAGAGAAAAUAUUGCUCAAGAAGAUAUCUCAUCUGUCAUCAGAGAGGCACCAGGUAAACAAUGCACAUAAGAAGCAGUGUUGAUUUCUGAAGGAGACAUGGAGAGAUGGAAAAAAGCUAGCCCAACAGAAACCAAUAAAUGGAAAAGGGACUACAUCAUCAGACUGAUUCAGUUCUACAAGUUCAAAAUUGAGGACUCUGCUGAACAUUAAGGAAAAAAUACCGUAUCGGGAGAAGAUGGCAAGAUUCUGAUUCAAACUUCCAGUCUACCCUUAAAGAUGUGGACCGUGAGCUCAGAGUCCAACUGUAAGGCUAGAACUGAAUCAAGGGAGAGAGCAGUCGUCCUCCACCUGAGAAGAAUAAAUCCAGCUUUGCUUCAGAUGGGCAGGGCAUUGCCAUUAGACUCUCCAAGCAGGUAGCCAAUUGAUUUUCAGGAAUCAUGUGAUCCCUCUUGGCAUGUCUACUUCUGCUUUAAUGACACUAUUGAAGAAGAUGAUGUUUCGAGGAGUCUAAAAAGGCGAGGGAUUGAUGCCUUACAUAUGAAGACUCGGGCAGCUGAGGAAAAGUGCAUGCUUUACCAGGAAAUGAGAAGUCUAAGGGCUCAGUCACACCAAAAGCGUUUAUGGCAGUUGCAGGCGCCUUUUUUUAAUUAUAUUCUAUGGGCAGGGCGCGUUUGCGCGCUGUUUAUGCGCGCCGAGCACCUCGCGUUUUUUUGCCGCCUGCCGCGCACGCGUUUUUGAAGGAGCGCUGAGAGCGGAGAAGCGCCCGACGUCAUUCGGGUCUUUCCAUUGUCCAAUCAAAUGAGGGGAGAGGCGGGCCUUACGUUGUGGUGACUGGUGAGUGAAGUUUACAGUUGCUUUGAAGAACCAGACUCCACUCGCUCACUCUCUCCUGCGUGUUUGUGCACCUCUCACCCUCAAACAAGGUCAGAGCAAGCGCCCUCUUUUUAAAGUUUCUGCUAAUAUGACAGUUAACAGCAAAAGAGCGUUCACACUUCAAUAUUUGAUUGACAAGACAGCUGACUCUGUGGUUGCUUAGCAAUAUGAAAAGCCACGUCGCACUGCUCUUUUUUUGCAAGCGUUUAAAGCGCUUUUGGUGUGACUGGCCCCUAACUGAACACCCCAUCAGCAGCAGGCCUCUAACAUUUGGGCUCUAACAUCAAAGACACUGAGCAGCCUGGUGCAAAAGCUGCUCUCAUUCAACACCUCCAACAGCUGGAAAGAAAACUAC